AUGAACGCUGGCGAAUGCUUUACACAUGCAAGUCGUACGAAAGCUUUAGCUUAAGUGGCGGACGGGUGAGUAAUACGUAAGAAUUUGCCUUUAGGAGGGGGAUAACAGCUGGAAACGGUUGCUAAUACCCCAUAUGCUUUUAAAGUGAAAAUGGGUUUACCGCCUAAAAGAAAGCUUACGGCUGAUUAGCUUGUUGGUAAGGUAAUGGCUUACCAAGGCGACAAUCAGUAUCU
This 233-nucleotide ribosomal RNA is filed under the name uncultured cyanobacterium. Its description in RNAcentral is "partial 16S ribosomal RNA". It matches the Rfam family "Bacterial small subunit ribosomal RNA", at positions 29 to 288 of the family's 1533-position model. Lineage: Bacteria; Bacillati; Cyanobacteriota. The record is from RNAcentral.